GCAUGAAGCCGGAAUCGCUAGUAAUCGCGGAUCAGCACGCCGCGGUGAAUACGUUCCCGGGCCUUGUACACACCGCCCGUCACACCACGAGAGUUUGUAACACCCGAAGUCGGUGAGGUAACCUUUUUGGAGCCAGCCGCCUAAGGUGGGAUAGAUGAUUGGGGUGAAGUCGUAACAAGGUAGCCGUAUCGGAAGGUGCGGCUGGAUCACCUCCUUU
Molecule: ribosomal RNA, 217 nt
Filed under: Enterococcus faecium
Lineage: Bacteria; Bacillati; Bacillota; Bacilli; Lactobacillales; Enterococcaceae
Also listed under: 5 other names
Description: partial 16S ribosomal RNA
Rfam family: Bacterial small subunit ribosomal RNA
Source: RNAcentral